This is a long non-coding RNA of Protopterus annectens (West African lungfish), 584 nucleotides long. RefSeq lists it as uncharacterized. The record is from RefSeq and is a predicted model, not a curated record. The transcript is spliced from 4 exons. Lineage: Eukaryota; Metazoa; Chordata; Ceratodontiformes; Protopteridae.
AUGAGUGCCAGCGGGAUAAGGAUACCUGUGGUGAUCACUCCAUCUGUAACAAUGUAAUAGGAAGCUAUAGCUGUACCUGCCAACCAGGAUUCACAACUAGGACCAUCUCUCAUCUGUCCACUAACGGAAGCAAAUUUGGUUGUGAUGAUAUUGAUGAGUGCCAGCGGGAUAAGGAUAUCUGUGGUGAUCACUCCAUCUGUAACAAUGCAAUAGGAAGCUAUAGCUGUACCUGCCAACCAGGAUUCACAACUAGGACCAUCUCUCAUCUGUCCACUAACGGAAGCAAAUUUGGUUGUGAUGAUAUUGAUGAGUGCCAGCGGGAUAAGGAUAUCUGUGGUGAUCACUCCAUCUGUAACAAUGCAAUAGGAAGCUAUAGCUGUACCUGCCCACCGGGAUUCACAACUAGGACCAUCUCUCAUCUGUUCACUAACGGAAGCAAUUUUGGUUGUGAUGAUAUUGAUGAGUGCCAGCGGGAUAAGGAUAUCUGUGGUGAUCACUCCAUCUGUAACAAUGCAAUAGGAAGCUAUAGCUGUACCUGCCCACCGGGAUUCACAACUAGGACCAUCUCUCAUCUGUCCACUAAC